This 2923-nucleotide ribosomal RNA is filed under the name Priestia megaterium. RNAcentral describes it as "23S ribosomal RNA". It matches the Rfam family "Bacterial large subunit ribosomal RNA". Lineage: Bacteria; Bacillati; Bacillota; Bacilli; Caryophanales; Bacillaceae. The record is from RNAcentral.
GGUUAAGUUAGAAAGGGCGCACGGUGAAUGCCUUGGCACUAGGAGCCGAUGAAGGACGGGACUAACACCGAUAUGCUUCGGGGAGCUGUAAGUGAGCUUUGAUCCGGAGAUUUCCGAAUGGGGAAACCCACUGUUCGUAAUGGAACAGUAUCUUUAUCUGAAUACAUAGGAUAUUGAAGGCAGACCCGGGGAACUGAAACAUCUAAGUACCCGGAGGAAGAGAAAGCAAAUGCGAUUUCCUGAGUAGCGGCGAGCGAAACGGAAUUAGCCCAAACCUAGAGGCUUGCCUCUUGGGGUUGUAGGACACUCUAUACGGAGUUACAAAGGAACGAAGUAAAUGAAGCGACCUGGAAAGGUCCGUCGAAGAAGGUAACAACCCUGUAGUUGAAACUUCGUUCCCUCUUGAGUGGAUCCUGAGUACGGCGGAACACGUGAAAUUCCGUCGGAAGCUGGGAGGACCAUCUCCCAAGGCUAAAUACUACCUAGUGACCGAUAGUGAACCAGUACCGUGAGGGAAAGGUGAAAAGCACCCGGAAGGGAGUGAAAGAGAUCCUGAAACCGUGUGCCUACAAGUAGUCAGAGCCCGUUAACGGGUGAUGGCGUGCCUUUUGUAGAAUGAACCGGCGAGUUACGAUCCCAUGCAAGGUUAAGCUGAUAAGGCGGAGCCGUAGCGAAAGCGAGUCUGAAUAGGGCGUUUAGUAUGUGGUUGUAGACCCGAAACCAGGUGAUCUACCCAUGUCCAGGGUGAAGUUCAGGUAACACUGAAUGGAGGCCCGAACCCACGCACGUUGAAAAGUGCGGGGAUGAGGUGUGGUAGCGGAGAAAUUCCAAUCGAACCUGGAGAUAGCUGGUUCUCUCCGAAAUAGCUUUAGGGCUAGCCUCAUGUUGUGAGAGUCUUGGAGGUAGAGCACUGAUUGGACUAGGGGCCCCAACGGGUUACCGAAUUCAGUCAAACUCCGAAUGCCAAAGACUUAUCCAUGGGAGUCAGACUGCAGUGAUAAGAUCCGUAGUCAAAGGAAACAGCCCAGACCACCAGCUAAGGUCCCCAAGUAUACGUUAAGUGGAAAAGGAUGUGGAGUUGCUUAGACAACCAGGAUGUUGGCUUAGAAGCAGCCACCAUUUAAAGAGUGCGUAAUAGCUCACUGGUCGAGUGACUCUGCGCCGAAAAUGUACCGGGGCUAAACGUAUCACCGAAGCUGUGGAUUGACAUCUUAGAUGUCAGUGGUAGGAGAGCGUUCUAAGUGCUGUGAAGUCAGACCGUAAGGACUGGUGGAGCGCUUAGAAGUGAGAAUGCCGGUAUGAGUAGCGAAAGACAAGUGAGAAUCUUGUCCACCGAAUGCCUAAGGUUUCCUGAGGAAGGCUCGUCCGCUCAGGGUUAGUCGGGACCUAAGCCGAGGCUGAAAAGCGUAGGCGAUGGCCAACAGGUUGAUAUUCCUGUACCACCUCCCCGCCGUUUGAGUAAUGGGGGGACGCAGUAGGAUAGGGUAAGCGCGCUGCUGGAUAUGCGCGUUCAAGCAGUUAGGCUGAUGAGUAGGCAAAUCCGCUCAUCAUAAAGGCUGAGCUGUGAUGACGAGGGAAUUAUAGUACCGAAGUUCCUGAUUCCACACUGCCAAGAAAAGCCUCUAGCGAGGCGGGAGGUGCCCGUACCGCAAACCGACACAGGUAGGCGAGGAGAGAAUCCUAAGGUGAUCGAGAGAACUCUCGUUAAGGAACUCGGCAAAAUGACCCCGUAACUUCGGGAGAAGGGGUGCUCUGGUAGGGUGUAUAGCCCGAGAGAGCCGCAGUGAAUAGGCCCAGGCGACUGUUUAGCAAAACACAGGUCUCUGCGAAGCCGCAAGGCGAAGUAUAGGGGCUGACGCCUGCCCGGUGCUGGAAGGUUAAGAGGAGGGUUAUCCUUUGGGAGAAGCUCUGAAUCGAAGCCCCAGUAAACGGCGGCCGUAACUAUAACGGUCCUAAGGUAGCGAAAUUCCUUGUCGGGUAAGUUCCGACCCGCACGAAAGGCGUAACGAUCUGGGCACUGUCUCAACGAGAGACUCGGUGAAAUUAUAGUACCUGUGAAGAUGCAGGUUACCCGCGACAGGACGGAAAGACCCCGUGGAGCUUUACUGUAGCCUGAUAUUGAAUUUUGGUACAGCUUGUACAGGAUAGGUAGGAGCCUGAGAAGCCGGAGCGCUAGCUUCGGUGGAGGCGUCGGUGGGAUACUACCCUGGCUGUAUUGAAAUUCUAACCCGCGGCCCUGAUCGGGCCGGGAGACAGUGUCAGGUGGGCAGUUUGACUGGGGCGGUCGCCUCCUAAAAUGUAACGGAGGCGCCCAAAGGUUCCCUCAGAAUGGUUGGAAAUCAUUCGUAGAGUGUAAAGGCACAAGGGAGCUUGACUGCGAGACCUACAAGUCGAGCAGGGACGAAAGUCGGGCUUAGUGAUCCGGUGGUUCCGCAUGGAAGGGCCAUCGCUCAACGGAUAAAAGCUACCCGGGGAUAACAGGCUUAUCUCCCCAAGAGUCCACAUCGACGGGGAGGUUUGGCACCUCGAUGUCGGCUCAUCGCAUCCUGGGGCUGUAGUCGGUCCCAAGGGUUGGGCUGUUCGCCCAUUAAAGCGGUACGCGAGCUGGGUUCAGAACGUCGUGAGACAGUUCGGUCCCUAUCCGUCGUGGGCGUAGGAAAUUUGAGAGGAGCUGUCCUUAGUACGAGAGGACCGGGAUGGACACACCGCUGGUGUACCAGUUGUCUUGCCAAAGGCAUCGCUGGGUAGCUAUGUGUGGACGGGAUAAGUGCUGAAAGCAUCUAAGCAUGAAGCCCCUCAAGAUGAGAUUUCCCAUAGCGCAAGCUAGUAAGAUCCCUGAAAGAUGAUCAGGUUGAUAGGUCAGAGGUGGAAGCGUGGCGACAUGUGUAGCUGACUGAUACUAAUCGAUCGAGGACUUAACCAA